UAAGCAAGGUAUUAUAAAAAAGAUAUUAUAACACUUUGUAACCUAGUAUUCAGAAGACUAAAAAAAUGUGUAGUCAACAUAAAUGAUCAAAAAAUACAAAAAUUUGUUGUCCUACGGUCUCUUUUUUGUAACAUUCUAUAUAAUAUGUUUUACAAAAAAAUAACACACUUUGAUAUAAAAUAUAAUCAAAAUUUUACAAAAAUACAAGCAUUUACACAUAAACCCAUAAGAACCUUAUUAAAUAGUACUACAAGUAUAAUUAAGCCAUAUACAUCAUCAUUAAUAAUAAUUUUAAAUUGAUAUUUCUCAAAAUAAAAAGCAAUUACGAAACCGAUUCGACAGACAGGUAAAACAUUAAAACAUUGACUGGUUUAAAUCAUUGAUGUAUGUUUUUAUAGAGGAAAUCUAAAAUUUUACAAAACUGUCACCAUCCAGUCAAACAGAUCGAAAUUCGAAAAAAAAUGUUAAUAGAGGACUAAAUAUUACUGGAUAUAGUGUUGUUGGUUGUUACAAAAACUUACUCCAUGCUGAGUGCUAAGUAACCGAUGGGUACAUGUUGCUGACAAUAAAAAUGAUGAAAUAUUAUCAAUGUUACACGCCUGAUUUUUUGGUUCUACCAAUAUUUUUAAUUUCACUAUCCUGUGUUUGUCCAAAUCAAACAGAGCCACUGCGAGAAAA
Bombus pascuorum is the source of this 678-nucleotide long non-coding RNA. RefSeq lists it as uncharacterized. The transcript has 2 exons. Lineage: Eukaryota; Metazoa; Arthropoda; Insecta; Hymenoptera; Apidae. The record is from RefSeq and is a predicted model, not a curated record.